Molecule: long non-coding RNA, 840 nt
Organism: Cygnus olor (mute swan)
Lineage: Eukaryota; Metazoa; Chordata; Aves; Anseriformes; Anatidae
Exons: 3
Source: RefSeq, a predicted model, not a curated record
AAUAAAAGGAAAAGGGAAAAAAAUAAAAAGGAGAAGGAAAAAAAAAAGGAGGAAAGGAAGGCGAAAAGGAGAGAUCCAACUUUCUCAAGACAUGUCCAGGCAAAGAACGGGAGAGUUGCGGAGUUGCAGCGGCGGAGAGAUUUUUCCCACAGAAGGGCGUAUUCAGAUUCCUAAAGAAGGCUUUGAAAGGGAUCCAGCAAGGCAAUCACAUGCAUGUGCAACUAUUUUUUCACUAGGCAAGAAUAUAUGGAAUGUGAAUGGAGUUUCAGCAUAGCUCUGCAAGUGUAUCUUCAGCCAUCAGAAUGCAAUCUUCUGUCUGUUCCUUUCAAGAACUGCGCCCCGAGCACAUAAUACCAUGAGAUGAAAAAAAUGUCCUAACAAAUGCUUUAAGACAUUACUCUGUAUCAUUGUUUCACAGCAGCUUUUUAAUACAGUUAUAAUGUUGUAUCUUCCAGUUAGCAGGAAAAGACAUAAUUUGUUUGAUGAUGCUAAUACUGUUACUAGCCUUUCAGAAACUGCAGAAAGGGCUUUAAACAUUUGUUUGGAGCAGCAACACCAUGUAAAGUAGUAUUGGGUUUGUAACUGAUAAAUGUUUUGUGCUGGGCUUGUCUUUCCCAGAUCUCAGUGUUUUCCUGUUUAAUGUAAGGUGGAAUUCAUACAAUACAGUGCUUUUACCUAUUGUUCCCAUUCUAAAUAUGUCGUAUGCAAAGUUUUCAGACAUCUCUUUCUGUCUCAAGAAACAUUAAUCCCUUCCCUUUUCCUUCCCCUUUCAUGUCUGUGUUCAUCAUUUUAGCUUAUGUGGAUGGUUUAUAUUUCAAUAAAGCAAUGAAAGUGGGUUCA